GCAACCCUCGACCUUAGUUGCCAGCAUUCAGUUGGGCACUCUAAGGUGACUGCCGGCUAAAAGUCGGAGGAAGGUGGGGAUGACGUCAAAUCAUCAUGCCCCUUAUGACCUGGGCUACACACGUGCUACAAUGGGCGGUACAAAGGGUCGCGAACCCGCGAGGGGAGCCAAUCCCAAAAAGCCGCUCUCAGUUCGGAUUGCAGGCUGCAACUCGCCUGCAUGAAGCCGGAAUCGCUAGUAAUCGCGGAUCAGCAUGCCGCGGUGAAUACGUUCCCGGGCCUU
Molecule: ribosomal RNA, 282 nt
Filed under: uncultured Anoxybacillus sp.
Lineage: Bacteria; Bacillati; Bacillota; Bacilli; Caryophanales; Anoxybacillaceae
Description: partial 16S ribosomal RNA
Rfam family: Bacterial small subunit ribosomal RNA
Source: RNAcentral